Molecule: non-coding RNA, 1132 nt
Organism: Sus scrofa (pig)
Lineage: Eukaryota; Metazoa; Chordata; Mammalia; Artiodactyla; Suidae
Source: RefSeq, a predicted model, not a curated record
CAUCCGCUCCGCGAGGCGGGAAGAGGCCCCACUGCCCUCGGGCCGGAGCCGCCUGGUGGGGAGGGGGUGUCACGCUUCAGAAAAGGGCGAGGACUGGCCCCGACCUUCAGCGGAGGAAGGAAACAAUGAAGCCACGUAACAAAAGUUCAAGGCCAAACGUAGCGCCCGCCCAGCGCUCGACCGCGGCUUCCUCUCCGCCGGCUCCGGGGAGUCACCUGACCUCGCUUUCGCAGUCGCGGACGCCGAAAGGGUCCUGCAGUCCUCCUCGCAGCCAAUCGGCGGCGUCCCUGCCCCCCGCAGCCAAUCAGUGGCGUCCCUGCCCUCGCAGCCAAUCAAUGGCGGCCCGGCCUUCCUAGCCAAUCUGGUUCUCCGCCCGCCGGCCUCUCGCGCGUGAGGAGGGAAAGCCCGGCUUCCGAAGACCCCUGGAAAAAGACUCGUUGAGCGUGCAAAAAACGACUUUGUUUCCACUGGGCCAGGUAUAUUCUGAAGCCUGCAGAGCGUCCAUCAGGGGCUGCCCAGGGCCGGGAAGAGCGCGCCUUCUCUUUGUUACAGAACUAGCCACCCGCAACCCCGCGGACCCCUAGGAGACUGCCCUUGCAGCUCACAGCCGACCAGCUGUUGGAACGUGUCUCAUAUGGGAAGAAAUGCUUGCAGUUUCAAAGGUCCAGCCCAUGGGCUCAGACGCUGCCGCACAGCUCAGAACUCUGAAACUCUUGAUUCUACCCUGCUGUGUGCCUGGGAUUUGACCUGCCUCUCAUAUGGAGAGAAGCUACCUGAGUGCAGGAAAUAGCCUUGACUGUAGCCUCAGUCUCUAGCUGGAGCCCAGGUCCAGCUCCCAGGAUGCCAGUGUUCCCUAAGAACUCCGUUUCAGAACCACUGAACUAGAAUUUGGAAUUUAAAAGACCUCCACCUGAAAACCCAGGAGCCUCUGCAGAGCAAAGAACAUCGAUCACUAGUCAUUGGUCAUCUCAGCCCAGAGAGGGGUGGCACAGCCUUCAAGGUCCAUCAUAAUCUGGUUCCAACCUUCCUUUAUAAUCACAUAUCUUGGAGUUCCUAUCAUGGCUCAGUGGAAACAAAUCUGACUAGUAUCCAUGAGGACACAGGUUCAAUCCCUGGCCUGGCUCUGUGGGUU